This 466-nucleotide ribosomal RNA is filed under the name uncultured bacterium. RNAcentral describes it as "partial 16S ribosomal RNA". It matches the Rfam family "Bacterial small subunit ribosomal RNA", at positions 30 to 507 of the family's 1533-position model. The record is from RNAcentral.
CGAACGCUGGCGGCGUGCUUAACACAUGCAAGUCGAACGGAAAGGCCCUGCUUUUGUGGGGUGCUCGAGUGGCGAACGGGUGAGUAACACGUGAGUAACCUGCCCUUGACUUUGGGAUAACUUCAGGAAACUGGGGCUAAUACCGGAUAGGAGCUCCUGCUGCAUGGUGGGGGUUGGAAAGUUUCGGCGGUUGGGGAUGGACUCGCGGCUUAUCAGCUUGUUGGUGGGGUAGUGGCUUACCAAGGCUUUGACGGGUAGCCGGCCUGAGAGGGUGACCGGCCACAUUGGGACUGAGAUACGGCCCAGACUCCUACGGGAGGCAGCAGUGGGGAAUAUUGCACAAUGGGCGGAAGCCUGAUGCAGCAACGCCGCGUGCGGGAUGACGGCCUUCGUGUUGUAAACCGCUUUCGCCUGUGACGAAGCGUGAGUGACGGUAAUGGGUAAAGAAGCACCGGCUAACUACGUG